Molecule: unclassified non-coding RNA, 547 nt
Filed under: Cladophialophora sp. KO-groupL 2014
Lineage: Eukaryota; Fungi; Ascomycota; Eurotiomycetes; Chaetothyriales; Herpotrichiellaceae
Description: partial contains ITS1, 5.8S rRNA and ITS2
Rfam family: 5.8S ribosomal RNA (bases 223-377)
Source: RNAcentral
UCCGUAGGUGAACCUGCGGAAGGAUCAUUAUCGAGUUAGGGUCCCUCGUGGCCCGACCUCCCAACCCCUUGUUUAUUAUACCUUUGUUGCUUCGGCGGACCCGCCUUAACUGGCCGCCGGGGGACCGUCGAAAGGCGUCCCCUGGCCAGCGUCCGUCGGUGGCCCUUAAACUUCUGUUAAACUGUGCCUUAAUUCUAAGUAAAAUUUGAAAUAAAAAGCAAAAACUUUCAACAACGGAUCUCUUGGUUCUGGCAUCGAUGAAGAACGCAGCGAAAUGCGAUAAGUAAUGCGAAUUGCAGAAUUCCAGUGAGUCAUCGAAUCUUUGAACGCACAUUGCGCCCUUUGGUAUUCCGAAGGGCAUGCCUGUUCGAGCGUCAUUAUCACCCCUUAAGCCCCGUGCUUGGUGUUGGACGGCCUGGCUGGGCGCACUGCCCGGCCCCUCCUAAAGACAAUGACGGCGGUCUGUGGAUCCCCCGGUACACUGAGCUUCUUUACCGAGCACGUACUGGACGAAAAGGGCGCCCGGACGACGGUCUAAAACCCCCAU